ACCUGAUCCCAUUCCGAACUCAGAAGUGAAACGCAGCUGCGACGAUGGUAGUGUGGCAUUCGCCAUGCGAGAGUAGUACACCGCCAGGC
RNAcentral lists this ribosomal RNA (89 nucleotides) under Arsukibacterium sp. MJ3. The record is from RNAcentral. RNAcentral also lists the same sequence under 2 other names. Lineage: Bacteria; Pseudomonadati; Pseudomonadota; Gammaproteobacteria; Chromatiales; Chromatiaceae.